GACGAACGCUGGCGGCGUGCUUAACACAUGCAAGUCGAACGGAAAGGCCCUGCUUUUGUGGGGUGCUCGAGUGGCGAACGGGUGAGUAACACGUGAGUAACCUGCCCUUGACUUUGGGAUAACUUCAGGAAACUGGGGCUAAUACCGGAUAGGAGCUCCUGCUGCAUGGUGGGGGUUGGAAAGUUUCGGCGGUUGGGGAUGGACUCGCGGCUUAUCAGCUUGUUGGUGGGGUAGUGGCUUACCAAGGCUUUGACGGGUAGCCGGCCUGAGAGGGUGACCGGCCACAUUGGGACUGAGAUACGGCCCAGACUCCUACGGGAGGCAGCAGUGGGGAAUAUUGCACAAUGGGCGGAAGCCUGAUGCAGCAACGCCGCGUGCGGGAUGACGGCCUUCGGGUUGUAAACCGCUUUCGCCUGUGACGAAGCGUGAGUGACGGUAAUGGGUAAAGAAGCACCGGCUAACUACGUGCCAGCAGCCGCGGUGAUACGUAGGGUGCGAGCGUUGUCCGGAUUUAUUGGGCGUAAAGGGCUCGUAGGUGGUUGAUCGCGUCGGAAGUGUAAUCUUGGGGCUUAACCCUGAGCGUGCUUUCGAUACGGGUUGACUUGAGGAAGGUAGGGGAGAAUGGAAUUCCUGGUGGAGCGGUGGAAUGCGCAGAUAUCAGGAGGAACACCAGUGGCGAAGGCGGUUCUCUGGGCCUUUCCUGACGCUGAGGAGCGAAAGCGUGGGGAGCGAACAGGCUUAGAUACCCUGGUAGUCCACGCUGUAAACGGUGGGUACUAGGUGUGGGGUCCAUUCCACGGGUUCCGUGCCGUAGCUAACGCUUUAAGUACCCCGCCUGGGGAGUACGGCCGCAAGGCUAAAACUCAAAGGAAUUGACGGGGCCCCGCACAAGCGGCGGAGCAUGCGGAUUAAUUCGAUGCAACGCGUAGAACCUUACCUGGGUUUGACAUGGAUCGGGAGCGCUCAGAGAUGGGUGUGCCUCUUUUGGGGUCGGUUCACAGGUGGUGCAUGGCUGUCGUCAGCUCGUGUCGUGAGAUGUUGGGUUAAGUCCCGCAACGAGCGCAACCCUUGUUCACUGUUGCCAGCACGUUAUGGUGGGGACUCAGUGGAGACCGCCGGGGUCAACUCGGAGGAAGGUGGGGAUGACGUCAAGUCAUCAUGCCCCUUAUGUCCAGGGCUUCACGCAUGCUACAAUGGCUGGUACAGAGAGUGGCGAGCCUGUGAGGGUGAGCGAAUCUCGGAAAGCCGGUCUCAGUUCGGAUUGGGGUCUGCAACUCGACCUCAUGAAGUCGGAGUCGCUAGUAAUCGCAGAUCAGCAACGCUGCGGUGAAUACGUUUCCCGGGGCU
Molecule: ribosomal RNA, 1347 nt
Filed under: uncultured bacterium
Lineage: Bacteria
Description: bacterial SSU rRNA
Rfam family: Bacterial small subunit ribosomal RNA
Source: RNAcentral